This 110-nucleotide non-coding RNA is filed under the name Streptomyces sp. Lineage: Bacteria; Bacillati; Actinomycetota; Actinomycetes; Kitasatosporales; Streptomycetaceae. The record is from RNAcentral.
GGGGAAGCCGGUGCAAUUCCGGCGCUGGCCCUUCCCCACGUCUCGACUUCGCUCGACCCGGGGAGACCCCUACCGUAAGCCGCCCGCAGAGGCGGCGAGCCGGAAUGCCC